AAAAAAUUAGUUAAAUUUAUAAUGAAGGGUUGUCAAUCCUUAGUUGCUUGUGAGAAAGUGUUUUUUA
Molecule: transfer RNA, 67 nt
Filed under: Quasilineus sinicus
Lineage: Eukaryota; Metazoa; Nemertea; Pilidiophora; Heteronemertea; Lineidae
Description: tRNA-Asp
Source: RNAcentral